CAACUUUUGACAAUGGAUCUCUUGGUUCUCGCAACGAUGAAGAACGCAGCAAAAUGCGAUAAGUAAUGUGAAUUGCAGAAUACGUGAAUCAUCAAAUCUUCGAACGCAUAUUG
This 113-nucleotide ribosomal RNA is filed under the name uncultured Neocallimastix. RNAcentral's name for it is "partial 5.8S ribosomal RNA". It matches the Rfam family "5.8S ribosomal RNA", at positions 1 to 113 of the family's 154-position model. From Rfam's summary of the family: 5.8S ribosomal RNA (5.8S rRNA) is a component of the large subunit of the eukaryotic ribosome. It is transcribed by RNA polymerase I as part of the 45S precursor that also contains 18S and 28S rRNA. The record is from RNAcentral. Lineage: Eukaryota; Fungi; Neocallimastigomycota; Neocallimastigomycetes; Neocallimastigales; Neocallimastigaceae.